AGAGUUUGAUCAUGGCUCAGAACGAACGCUGGCGGCAUGCCUAACACAUGCAAGUCGAACGAAGCCUUCGGGCUUAGUGGCGCACGGGUGCGUAACACGUGGGAAUCUGCCCUUCGGUUCGAAUAACAGUUAGAAAUGACUGCUAAUACCGGAUGAUGACGUAAGUCCAAAGAUUUAUCGCCGAAGGAUGAGCCCGCGUAGGAUUAGGUAGUUGGUAGGGUAAUGGCCUACCAAGCCGACGAUCCUUAGCUGGUCUGAGAGGAUGAUCAGCCACACUGGGACUGAGACACGGCCCAGACUCCUACGGGAGGCAGCAGUGGGGAAUAUUGGACAAUGGGCGAAAGCCUGAUCCAGCAAUGCCGCGUGAGUGAUGAAGGCCUUAGGGUUAUAAAGCUCUUUUACCAGGGAUGAUAAUGACAGUACCUGGAGAAUAAGCUCCGGCUAACUCCGUG
Molecule: ribosomal RNA, 452 nt
Filed under: uncultured bacterium
Lineage: Bacteria
Description: bacterial SSU rRNA
Rfam family: Bacterial small subunit ribosomal RNA
Source: RNAcentral